This 416-nucleotide ribosomal RNA is filed under the name uncultured bacterium. RNAcentral describes it as "bacterial SSU rRNA". It matches the Rfam family "Bacterial small subunit ribosomal RNA", at positions 28 to 432 of the family's 1533-position model. The record is from RNAcentral.
GAUAAACGCUGGCGGCGUGCAUAACACAUUCAAGGUCGAACGGACCUUAUGGAAAAGCUUGCUUGGAAAUAAGGUUAGUGGCGGACGGGUGAGUAACGCGUGAGCAACCUGCCUAGUCAGUGGGGAAUAACGUUUGGAAACGAACGCUAAUACCGCAUAAUGUACGAAGAUCGCAAUGUUUUUCGUACCAAAGAUUUAUUGCUGAUAGAUGGGCUCGCGUCUGAUUAGCUAGUUGGCGGGUAAGGCCCACCAAGGCGACGAUGUCUAGGGGUUCCUGAGAGGAAGGUCCCCACACUGGUACUGAGACACGGACCAGACUCCUACGGGAGGCAGCAGUGAGGAAUAUUGGGUCAAUGGGCGAGAGCCUGAACCAGCCAAGUCGCGUGAGGGACGACGGUACUAAGUAUUGUAAACCU